RNAcentral lists this long non-coding RNA (761 nucleotides) under Marmota monax (woodchuck). Lineage: Eukaryota; Metazoa; Chordata; Mammalia; Rodentia; Sciuridae. The record is from RNAcentral.
UACUUGAGGUACAGUAAUAGGCUAUUUGAGAUAUUUCUGCUUUUUCAUGUAGGUUUUGAUUGCUGUAAACUUUCCUGUAUCCCACAGAUUCUGGUAUGUUGCAUUACCAUUUUCAUUUGUUUCAAAGAACCAUCUCUCUUGGUUUCUUCAUUGAUUCAUUGGUUGUUCAAGAGUAAAUUGUUCAAUAUCUAUGUAUUUGUGUAGUUUCCAGUUUUUCAUAUUAUUGAAUUCUGGUUUUAUUGCAUUGUAUGAAAAGAUGCUCAGUAUGAUUUCAGCUUUUUAAAACCUGUUGAGACUUUUUUUGGUGACCUGUCAUCUGGCCUAUGCUGGAGAAUGUUCCACAUGCUGAUGAGAACACGUAUUCUGUAGUUGUAUGGAAUGUUCUCUGUAUAUCUGGUGGAUUCAUUUAUCUGGUCAAGGAUAUGAUUUAACUCUGUUGUUUCUUUGUUGAAUUUAUGUUUGGAUGAUCUGUCCUCUUGUAUAGGAGUCUACCUCUUACUUUAGAUCUAUAAGAUUUGCUUUAUGUAUACUGAUGCUCCAAUAUUGGGUGCAAAUAUAUUUCGAAUUAUAUUUCCUCUUGCAGAAUUACCCCCUUUAUCAUUAUAUAAUGACCUUCCUUGUUUCAUUUUUUUAAAAAAAUAUUUUUUAGUUGUUUCACAUGGCCUUUAUUGUAUUUAUUUAUAUGUGGUGCUGAGAAUCGAACCCAGUGCCUCACACAUGCUAGGCAAGUGCUCUACCACUGAGCCACAGCCACAGCCCCC